This 772-nucleotide ribosomal RNA is filed under the name uncultured bacterium. RNAcentral's name for it is "bacterial SSU rRNA". It matches the Rfam family "Bacterial small subunit ribosomal RNA", at positions 8 to 796 of the family's 1533-position model. The record is from RNAcentral.
AGAGUUUGAUCAUGGCUCAGGACGAACGCUGGCGGCGUGCUUAACACAUGCAAGUCGAACGAUGAACCACUUCGGUGGGGAUUAGUGGCGAACGGGUGAGUAACACGUGGGCAAUCUGCCCUGCACUCUGGGACAAGCCCUGGAAACGGGGUCUAAUACCGGAUACUGACCCGCUUGGGCAUCCAAGCGGUUCGAAAGCUCCGGCGGUGCAGGAUGAGCCCGCGGCCUAUCAGCUAGUUGGUGAGGUAAUGGCUCACCAAGGCGACGACGGGUAGCCGGCCUGAGAGGGCGACCGGCCACACUGGGACUGAGACACGGCCCAGACUCCUACGGGAGGCAGCAGUGGGGAAUAUUGCACAAUGGGCGAAAGCCUGAUGCAGCGACGCCGCGUGAGGGAUGACGGCCUUCGGGUUGUAAACCUCUUUCAGCAGGGAAGAAGCGAAAGUGACGGUACCUGCAGAAGAAGCGCCGGCUAACUACGUGCCAGCAGCCGCGGUAAUACGUAGGGCGCAAGCGUUGUCCGGAAUUAUUGGGCGUAAAGAGCUCGUAGGCGGCUUGUCACGUCGGUUGUGAAAGCCCGGGGCUUAACCCCGGGUCUGCAGUCGAUACGGGCAGGCUAGAGUGUGGUAGGGGAGAUCGGAAUUCCUGGUGUAGCGGUGAAAUGCGCAGAUAUCAGGAGGAACACCGGUGGCGAAGGCGGAUCUCUGGGCCAUUACUGACGCUGAGGAGCGAAAGCGUGGGGAGCGAACAGGAUUAGAUACCCUAGUAGUCC